RNAcentral lists this ribosomal RNA (494 nucleotides) under uncultured bacterium. RNAcentral's name for it is "partial 16S ribosomal RNA". It matches the Rfam family "Bacterial small subunit ribosomal RNA", at positions 28 to 507 of the family's 1533-position model. The record is from RNAcentral.
GACGAACGCUGGCGGCGCGCUUAACACAUGCAAGUCGAACGGAAAGGCCUGCUUUCCCUUGUGGAUUGCGGGUACUCGAGUGGCGAACGGGUGAGUAACACGUGAGUGAUCUGCCCCCAACUUGGGUAUAAGCCUGGGAAACUGGGUCUAAUUCCCGAUAGGACUGCAGGGUGGUGCCUGUGGUGGAAAACGAUUUUCUAGUGGUUGGGGAUGAGCUCGCGGCCUAUCAGCUUGUUGGUGGGGUAAUGGCCUACCAAGGCGGCGACGGGUAGCCGGCCUGGGAGGGUGGACGGACACAUUGGGACUGAGAUACGGCCCAGACUCCUACGGGAGGCAGCAGUGGGGAAUAUUGCACAAUGGGCGGAAGCCUGAUGCAGAGACGCCGCGUGGGGGAUGACGGCAUUCGGGUUGUAAACUCCUUUCGACCGCGAGGAAGCCACCUGGUUGGAAGGGUGGUGACGGUAGUGGUAGAAGAAGCACCGGCUAACUACGUG